AGCUUAAUAUUUUGACCUAUUAUUUCCUUUCCUAAAAAUUUGGAACUUAAGUUUGAUUUGUUUUUAGUUUGGUUGGCCAAACCCGGACCCCACACACACACCAACCAAUCCCGUCUCUCUCUCUCCCUCUCUCGGUUUUCUUCCAUUUUUCGUACAAUACGUACGGUCAACCUUCGAACCUAGCUCACUAAUCACGGAUCGAGGUUUUGGAAGCCAUCUUCGUGUUCCUUGUGAACUCAGGAACACAUCCAUACCAUUUUUAGAACGUGAAUCCUUCGAAAACCCGAGAACCCAAAAAUCCCAGAUUUGAGCACUGUUCAUGCAGUCGUGAUCAUGGAAGUUUCAGUGAAUUUUAAGGUUCUACUUUAGGACGUCUUCAAGAAGCUCGGGGAAGAAAGUUGGAGUGUUUUGGACGUCGGGAAAUCCCAGUUCACAAGUUUCAAGUUUUGGCCAGAUUAUCGAUGUUUCUCCGACGAGAUUCGGUGGAUUUUAGGGCUUAAAAUUGAAACUGGCGAUCGCAGCGGCACCGACGAUGGUCUCCGACAAACCAAGGAAGACGAAGGGGAACAUUCCGUCAAGUUUGAUGGAAUAUUCUAACGGCGUUAGGUGAGACCUAUCCGAAGGACGAGCACCAUCAAUCGAGG
This is a long non-coding RNA of Malus domestica (apple), 644 nucleotides long. RefSeq lists it as uncharacterized. Lineage: Eukaryota; Viridiplantae; Streptophyta; Magnoliopsida; Rosales; Rosaceae. The record is from RefSeq and is a predicted model, not a curated record.